AACGUAGGACGCAAGCGUUAAUCGGAAUUACUGGGCGUAAAGCGUGCGCAGGCGGUUUUGUAAGCCAGAUGUGAAAUCCCCGGGCUUAACCUGGGAAUGGCAUUUGGGACUGCAAGGCUGGAGUGUGGCAGAGGAGACUGGAAUUCCUGGUGUAGCAGUGAAAUGCGUAGAUAUCAGGAGGAAUACCGAUGGCGAAGGCAGGUCUCUGGGCUGACACUGACGCUCAUGCACGAAAGCGUGGGGAGCAAACAGG
RNAcentral lists this ribosomal RNA (253 nucleotides) under uncultured bacterium. RNAcentral describes it as "partial 16S ribosomal RNA". It matches the Rfam family "Bacterial small subunit ribosomal RNA", at positions 524 to 776 of the family's 1533-position model. The record is from RNAcentral.